AAGGAUCAUUAAUAAAUGGGCGCAAGCCUUUAUUAUCCUAUACACCUGUGAACUAUUGCCUUCGGGCGUAUCCAAACAUAAUGUAACGAAUGUAAUCUAUUAUAACAAAUAUAACUUUCAACAACGGAUCUCUUGGCUCUCACAUCGAUGAAGAACGCAGCGAAAUGCGAUAAGUAAUGUGAAUUGCAGAAUUCAGUGAAUCAUCGAAUCUUUGAACGCAGAUUGCGCCCUUUGGUAUUCCGAAGGGCAUGCCUGUUUGAGUGUCUUAUAAACCUCACCUCUAAUGUUUUCUCAUUAGUCGUGCUUUGGGUGUUGCCAUUGGCUCGCCUUAAAUGCCUAAGUGGAAUGCGUAAUAAGUUCUCGCAAUCCUCCACUCUAACACUUUUAUAUUCUGACCUCAAAUCAGGUAGGACUACCCGCUGAACUUAA
Molecule: ribosomal RNA, 429 nt
Filed under: Dioszegia buhagiarii
Lineage: Eukaryota; Fungi; Basidiomycota; Tremellomycetes; Tremellales; Bulleribasidiaceae
Description: eukaryotic LSU rRNA
Rfam family: 5.8S ribosomal RNA (bases 113-266)
Source: RNAcentral